This 773-nucleotide ribosomal RNA is filed under the name uncultured Candidatus Saccharibacteria bacterium. RNAcentral's name for it is "bacterial SSU rRNA". It matches the Rfam family "Bacterial small subunit ribosomal RNA", at positions 97 to 922 of the family's 1533-position model. The record is from RNAcentral. Lineage: Bacteria; Candidatus Saccharimonadota.
GGCGGACGGCUGAGUAACGCGUGGGAAUCUGCCCCAAAGUGAGGAAUAACCUCGAGAAAUCGAGGCUAAUGCCGCAUAUGGUCUUCGGAUUAAAGUCGCAAGACGCUUUGGGAGGAGCCCGCGUCCGAUUAGCUAGUUGGUGAGGUAAUGGCUCACCAAGGCUACGAUCGGUAGCUGGUCUGAGAGGAUGAUCAGCCAGACUGGAACUGAGACACGGUCCAGACUCCUACGGGAGGCAGCAGUAAGGAAUAUUCCACAAUGGGCGAAAGCCUGAUGGAGCAACGCCGCGUGCAGGAUGAAGGCCUUCGGGUCGUAAACUGCUUUUCUCUGUGACGAAUAUGACGGUAGCAGAAGAAUAAGGGUCGGCUACUACGUGCCAGCAGCCGCGGUCUACGUAGGACCCGAGCGUUAUCCGGAAUGACUGGGCGUAAAGAGUUGCGUAAGUGGUUUGUUCGCGAAUAGUGAAAUCAAGUGGCUCAACCAUUUGGCUAUUAUUCGAACUGGCAGACUUGAGAAUGAGAGAGGUAACUGGAAUUCCCGGUGUAGGAGUGAAAUCCGUAGAUAUCGGGAGGAACACCUAUGGCGUAAGCACGUUACUGGCUCAUUUCUGACAUAAGCACAAAAGCGUGGGGAGCGUCCGGAUUAAUGCCGGGUAGUCCCGCCAUAAAGAUGGAUGCUACCUGUUGUGGGUACGACCUCCCACUAUGGAGCUAAUCGUCACCAUCCCGCCUGGGAGUACGUCCAAGAUUAAACUCAAUGAUUGACUGGAAUGG